CCUAGCUCAAUUGGUAGAGCAACUGACUUGUAAUCAGUAGGUUGGGGGUUCAAGUCCUCUGG
RNAcentral lists this transfer RNA (62 nucleotides) under Staphylococcus aureus. RNAcentral describes it as "tRNA-Thr". It matches the Rfam family "tRNA", at positions 6 to 65 of the family's 71-position model. Rfam says of the family: Transfer RNA (tRNA) molecules are approximately 80 nucleotides in length. Their secondary structure includes four short double-helical elements and three loops (D, anti-codon, and T loops). Further hydrogen bonds mediate the characteristic L-shaped molecular structure. tRNAs have two regions of fundamental functional importance: the anti-codon, which is responsible for specific mRNA codon recognition, and the 3' end, to which the tRNAs corresponding amino acid is attached (by aminoacyl-tRNA synthetases). tRNAs cope with the degeneracy of the genetic code in two manners: having more than one tRNA (with a specific anti-codon) for a particular amino acid; and 'wobble' base-pairing, i.e. permitting non-standard base-pairing at the 3rd anti-codon position. Lineage: Bacteria; Bacillati; Bacillota; Bacilli; Caryophanales; Staphylococcaceae. The record is from RNAcentral. RNAcentral also lists the same sequence under 1 other name.